This 376-nucleotide long non-coding RNA is filed under the name Homo sapiens (human). RNAcentral's name for it is "non-protein coding LINC00161:5". Lineage: Eukaryota; Metazoa; Chordata; Mammalia; Primates; Hominidae. The record is from RNAcentral.
GCAGCAGCCAUCUUGUGGAUAUGAGGGAAGAGCCAAAUAGACUACAAAUCGGUUAACACAGAGAACUAAAAUUGUGGAGCUACUGAAUGAACCAGCUAUGGAAUUGUCUGUGUGUGGGCAUUCAGAUGGACAUACCGGAUAAAAUUCUGGACUGGCAACAGAAGCAUCUUCUGUUCUAAUGAAGUGACUCUUGGUGUGUACCCGGAUAACCUCAUGACUGGAGUUGGUUGGCUGCUAGAAGAACAAAUCAUGUGAUUAGAGUGUUGGAACUUUCAACCUUAGCCCUCAACUUCUGGGGAGGGGAGAAGCGCAAAAGGUAGAGUUGACCACUAAUGGCCAGUGAUUUAACUAAUCAUGCCUAUGUAAUGAAGCAUCC